This 593-nucleotide ribosomal RNA is filed under the name Erwinia sp. AaD55a. Its description in RNAcentral is "bacterial SSU rRNA". It matches the Rfam family "Bacterial small subunit ribosomal RNA", at positions 47 to 628 of the family's 1533-position model. Lineage: Bacteria; Pseudomonadati; Pseudomonadota; Gammaproteobacteria; Enterobacterales; Erwiniaceae. The record is from RNAcentral.
CCUAAGACGUGCAAGUCGAGCGGCGGCGGAAGGAAGCUUGCUUCCUUGCCGGCGAGCGGCGGACGGGUGAGUAAUGUCUGGGGAUCUGCCCGAUGGAGGGGGAUAACUACUGGAAACGGUAGCUAAUACCGCAUAACGUCGCAAGACCAAAGUGGGGGACCUUCGGGCCUCACACCAUCGGAUGAACCCAGAUGGGAUUAGCUAGUAGGCGGGGUAAAGGCCCACCUAGGCGACGAUCUCUAGCUGGUCUGAGAGGAUGACCAGCCACACUGGAACUGAGACACGGUCCAGACUCCUACGGGAGGCAGCAGUGGGGAAUAUUGCACAAUGGGGGAAACCCUGAUGCAGCCAUGCCGCGUGUAUGAAGAAGGCCUUCGGGUUGUAAAGUACUGUCAGCGGGGAGGAAGGCAGUGAACUUAAUACGUUCGCUGAUUGACGUUACCCGCAGAAGAAGCACCGGCUAACUCCGUGACCAGCAGCCGCGGUUAAUACGGAGGGUGCAACGUUAAUCGGAAUGACUGGGCGUAAAGCGCACGCAGGCGGUUUGUUAAGUCAAAUGUGAAAUCCCCGAGCUUGACUUGGGAACCGCAUUU